Molecule: ribosomal RNA, 486 nt
Filed under: uncultured bacterium
Lineage: Bacteria
Description: partial 16S ribosomal RNA
Rfam family: Bacterial small subunit ribosomal RNA
Source: RNAcentral
AUUGAACGCUGGCGACAUGCCUAACACAUGCAAGUCGAACGGCAGCACGGGUGCUUUCACCUGGUGGCGAGUGGCGAACGGGGGAGUAAAACACCGGGACACGCUCCGUAGUGGGGGAGAGCCCGGCGAAAGCCGGAUUAAUACUGCAUACGAAUAUAGGGUGCAAGCGGGGGACCUAGGGGCCGAGGGCUUUAGGGUCGGCUGAUGGCUGAUUAGCUAGUUGGUGGGGUAAAGGCCUACCAAGGCGACGAUCAGUAGCUGGUCUGAGAGGACGACCAGCCACACUGGGACUGAGACACGGCCCAGACUCCUACGGGAGGCAGCAGUGGGGAAUUUUGGACAAUGGGCGAAAGCCUGAUCCAGCAAUGCCGCGUGUGUGAAGAAGGCCUUCGGGUUGUAAAGCACUUUUGUCCGGAAAGAAAUCCUUGGCCCUAAUACGGUCGGGGGAUGACGGUACCGGAAGAAUAAGCACCGGCUAACUACGUG